Molecule: ribosomal RNA, 248 nt
Filed under: uncultured Chlorobiota bacterium
Lineage: Bacteria; Pseudomonadati; Chlorobiota
Description: uncultured Chlorobi bacterium partial 16S ribosomal RNA
Rfam family: Bacterial small subunit ribosomal RNA
Source: RNAcentral
GAGGAAUAUUGGGCAAUGGGCGCAAGCCUGACCCAGCGACGCCGCGUGUGGGAUGACAGGGCUAUGCCUUGUAAACCACUGUCGGGGGGGACGAAAAGCGAGCUACGGCUCGCCGGGACGGUACCACCAAAGGAAGGGGCGGCUAACUACGUGCCAGCAGCCGCGGUAAUACGUAGGACCCAAGCGUUAUCCGGAUUCGCUGGGGGUAAAGGGGGUGUAGGCGGGGGUGCGGGUCCGGGGUGGAAGGG